This 307-nucleotide ribosomal RNA is filed under the name Ischnochiton hayamii. Its description in RNAcentral is "eukaryotic LSU rRNA". It matches the Rfam family "Eukaryotic large subunit ribosomal RNA", at positions 666 to 946 of the family's 3401-position model. The record is from RNAcentral. Lineage: Eukaryota; Metazoa; Mollusca; Polyplacophora; Chitonida; Ischnochitonidae.
CCAAGGAGUCUAGCAUGUGCGCGAGUCAUUGGGUUCCACUAAGCCUAAAGGCGGAAUGAAAGUGAAGGCAGCCUCGGGUUUGCCCAGGUAGGAUCCCGGUCGUCACGGCCUGGCGCACUACCGGCCCGUCGCGUCCGCUCUGCGGUGCGGCGGAGCAAGAGCGUACACGCUGGGACCCGAAAGAUGGUGAACUAUGCCUGAGUAGGACGAAGCCAGAGGAAACUCUGGUGGAAGUCCGUAGCGGUUCUGACGUGCAAAUCGAUCGUCGAACUUGGGUAUAGGGGCGAAAGACUAAUCGAACCAUCUA